RNAcentral lists this long non-coding RNA (2754 nucleotides) under Equus caballus (horse). Its description in RNAcentral is "lncRNA (ENSECAG00000048821.1)". Lineage: Eukaryota; Metazoa; Chordata; Mammalia; Perissodactyla; Equidae. The record is from RNAcentral.
CACAAUGCUGCUGUGCCAGCUGCUGCUUCUGGGAGAAAACCUAGUUCCUAGUUCUCUCCAGUGUGAGCUGGUUUGGCUAUUUGAAAGCUACUCUUUUCAACUAACCCUUCUUUGUCAGUUCAGAAACCAGUCCUGCUUUCCAGCAGCUGGGCUGGGCAGGGUUUUUCCAGGCUUGCUGACUGCAGCAGCUGUUUCCUGCCCCCAGUAAGAGCCCGGGGGACACACUCACCCACUCAGAGCCACCCUUGGCGGGAGACUUGGGGGACAACUCCCCGCAGGGCCGAGUUGAACAGCUCCAAUGAAAUAAUGCCAGAUGUGAAUGCUUUUUAAUCGAUGGGCUCUGAUCAUCACGAUACCAAAAUUCUGCACAUCUUUUGCAAAGCAAGGCUUGGCUCUCUGAAGCUUUCAUUUCUUCAUUUUCCCAUGUGGUAUCCUUGCCUUGGUGUGCCUGGUAUCCUGGAGUCCAGAAUCCCUCUGGUUCAACCUCUCAGAGAAUCUUCUGCCAGGAGGCAGUAGGGGGCCACCCAUCCUGUAGAAAGAAUGUUAACCACUCCACUUCCUAGUUCCUCCACACCUGUCACUUGGGAACCAGACGAGAAGUUCUAAGAAGCCCUCAGAUCCUGCAGCCUGACUCUGGCUUGGAAAACCUCUGUCCAGAUCAGAGUGCCAAGGGGAGUGACCCAUCUUGGAUCCUGGACCUCAUCCACUUAGUUGGGAAAUCUUUCUGAUAAAUUCAGAGACCACACAAAGUCCUGAGGGCCUUCCUGUCGAUUUGAAUCCGCUCAAACUCCCAGGAGAUGAAAACAACUUCACUAGAUUGAGGGGACGUAGGAAUCACCUGGGGAUCUUGUUAAAAUGAGGAUUCUGAUUCAGAAGGUCUGGGGAGGGGCCUGAGAUUCUCCCAGGUGAGGCCAGUGCUGCUGGUCCAAGGACCACAUUUGCAGCAUCAAGGGGUUAUAGAACCACCUUCUGUCACUGCUCAUGGAUUUCCUACUCUGCUUUCUGGGGAUCUUGCCUGUUUUCACACCUUAUCCUUCUUUUCCUCUCUCCAUCCAUCCUUUUCUUGGCCAACUCAUUAUUCUGACCAGGCACCCCUACCAACUCCCAACCCUCCUCCAUUCAAGGAGAAAGAAACUCCUGCCCUUUUUUCCUCAGACUUUCAUCCCCUCCCCUCUUCCCUCAGCAGUGCCAGAAAAAUGAAAGUCAUCAUUUAUUGACAGUUGUGUGCCAAGCACUGUCCCAAAUGUGUUACCCAUAAUAUUUAAUUCUCGCAACAAUCCUACAAAGUAUAUAUUAUUAUUGUCAUUUUAGAAAUGAGAAAAUUGAAACUUAGGUAGUUAAAGAAACUCUGUCCUCAACUAGGGAGUAAUGAGUUGAGAUUAGAAUUUGAAUCUGUCUAACGUCAAAGUCUACAGGCUUUACACUACCUUAUGCUCAUGCAAGGUGAAAUAGUCUAGAAGUCAGCUGGUGGGAAUGCAUUGAGAAAAAAGGAUCACUCCAAGGAUCACUCCACUUAUUCAGCCUGUACAGUCCUCUGAACCCCUCUUAAGCAGAUAUUCUAUGGGACAGCCCGACAUAUGGAUAAUAAGAGCUAUUUUAGGAAUGCCCAGGUUAGCUGGAAUGGGACAGGAUUCCAAAUAGCAGAGUAGUAAUAUUAAAACCCAAACUUGCCAAUAUGCCCAAAUUUUCAAUGUAGCUCUUUAAUUAGACCCAUAACUGUACCAAUAGAGCCUAUUACCAAAAAAGAGAUUCCUAUGAUUAGCUAAUCACCCAACCACAUGGAGUCUAAAGGAUGGUGCCAAGUCUGCUAUCAGUCCGCAUAGGGUCCUCUUUGGAUGGGUAGCCAAUUCCCUUCUCUCUCUAGUCUCUCUUCCUUGACUCCACCUCUAACAUCCCCUUGGUCUCUGCCUGUUCUCAAGAUCUGACCUAAGUGUCCUGGCUUCCAACCUGGGAGCCUAUACCUGAUCUUAAAACCUUUGUGUCUUUCAGCUUCCUCAAACUACAGCAUCUACAAGACAAACGAAUCUUGCUUAUGUUGGCUAUCUCCCUCUCCUGACUUUUAUUGGGUGUACAAAAAAAAAAUCUCCCUUUAAUUCCUCCCAAAGAUCCUACAAGGUAUGAGGAGAGGAGAAAAGGCAAGGGGUAGGAAUGAGGAAAAUUCCAUCUUGAUGCAAAAAUUUAAAAGGUCUAUAUUCAUUCAAUGGAGAAGAGUCAGAAUUUUAAAAUAUAACAUAGACAAGGAAAUUAAGAGCAGUGUGCUGUGGGGAAAGGAGCCCUGGCCCAAGAGUCGUGAGAUUUGGGUUCUCAAUCCAUCUUUUCCACUAACUGGCUGUGCAACCUUGGAUAAACUGUAUCAUUUUUCUUGACAUCAGUUUCUCCAUCUUUAAAGUGAGAGGGUUGUAUUGAAUGAUUACUAAGAUUCCUUUGAUCUCUGCUUUUCAGCGUCUUCCCUAGCACCUAAAAUAAAAUGAACCUGGCAGUUUUUGUGAAAUAAUGUUGCAUCUAACCAGAAAUUUAGACACAAACUUGCUUGAGUCAAUGCAUGAAAACAAGAAGAUAAAGAAACAGUGAUUAAUAAUGAUAAAUGAAUAAUAAUGAUAAAAAUAAAAGACCAAAAACUUAAAAAAAGACAAAAAUGGCUGAUUCUAUAGUUUUUCUUUUUUUUUUUUUUUUUUUUUUUUUUUUUUUUUUUUUUUUUUUUUUUAAAGAUUUUAUUUUUUCCUUUUUCUCCCCAAAGCCCCCCGGUACAUAGUU